RNAcentral lists this ribosomal RNA (503 nucleotides) under uncultured bacterium. RNAcentral describes it as "partial 16S ribosomal RNA". It matches the Rfam family "Bacterial small subunit ribosomal RNA", at positions 30 to 523 of the family's 1533-position model. The record is from RNAcentral.
AUCGAACGCUGGCGGCAGGCUUAACACAUGCAAGUCGAGCGGGGUGAUGGUGCUUGCACUAUCACUUAGCGGCGGACGGGUGAGUAAUGCUUAGGAAUCUGCCUAUUAGUGGGGGACAACAUCUCGAAAGGGAUGCUAAUACCGCAUACGUCCUACGGGAGAAAGCAGGGGAUCACUUGUGACCUUGCGCUAAUAGAUGAGUCUAAGUCGGAUUAGCUAGUUGGUGGGGUAAAGGCCUACCAAGGCGACGAUCUGUAGCGGGUCUGAGAGGAUGAUCCGCCACACUGGGACUGAGAAACGGCCCAGACCCCUACGGGAGGCAGCAGUGGGGAAUAUUGGACAAUGGGGUGAACCCUGAUCCAGCCAUGCCGCGUGUGUGAAGAAGGCCUUAUGGUUGUAAAGCACUUUAAGCGAGGAGGAGGCUCUUUUGGUUAAUACCCAAGAUGAGUGGGCGUUACUCGCAGAAUAAGCACCGGCUAACUCUGUGCCAGCCGCCGCCGUAA